CAGUAAGUAGUUUAAUAAAAAUCUUAAUUUUGGGGAUUAAUGAUGGGCCUUGCUCUUUACUGA
Molecule: transfer RNA, 63 nt
Filed under: Eusthenes cupreus
Lineage: Eukaryota; Metazoa; Arthropoda; Insecta; Hemiptera; Tessaratomidae
Description: tRNA-Pro
Source: RNAcentral